Molecule: ribosomal RNA, 581 nt
Filed under: Ophiopogon japonicus
Lineage: Eukaryota; Viridiplantae; Streptophyta; Magnoliopsida; Asparagales; Asparagaceae
Description: eukaryotic LSU rRNA
Rfam family: 5.8S ribosomal RNA (bases 221-374)
Source: RNAcentral
GGAAGUAAAAGUCGUAACAAGGUUUCCGUAGGUGAACCUGCGGAAGGAUCAUUAAAGAAUUUGCCCCGUCCUCUCGAGGAUGGGUCCUCUUCUAAACCGUGUAUACAUACCUUUGUUGCUUUGGCGGGCCGCCGUCUCGGCGUUGGCUUCGGCUGACUGUGCCCGCCAGAGGACCCCAACUCUUCUGUUUAGUAUUGUCUGAGUACUAUAUAAUAGUUAAAACUUUCAACAACGGAUCUCUUGGUUCUGGCAUCGAUGAAGAACGCAGCGAAAUGCGAUAAGUAAUGUGAAUUGCAGAAUUCAGUGAAUCAUCGAAUCUUUGAACGCACAUUGCGCCCCUUGGUAUUCCGAGGGGCAUGCCUGUUCGAGCGUCAUUAUAACCACUCAAGCCUCGGCUUGGUAUUGGGGUUUCGCGGUCUCGCGGCCCUUAAAACCAGUGGCGGUGUCAUCUGGCUCUAAGCGUAGUAAUUCUCUCGCUACAGGGUCCAGGUGGUUACUUGCCAAAACCCCCUAUUUUCUAUGGUUGACCUCGGAUCAGGUAGGGAUACCCGCUGAACUUAAGCAUAUCAAUAAGCGGAGGA